RNAcentral lists this ribosomal RNA (393 nucleotides) under uncultured bacterium. RNAcentral describes it as "partial 16S ribosomal RNA". It matches the Rfam family "Bacterial small subunit ribosomal RNA", at positions 523 to 918 of the family's 1533-position model. The record is from RNAcentral.
AUACGGAAGGUCCGGGCGUUAUCCGGAUUUAUUGGGUUUAAAGGGAGCGCAGGCGGAGAUGCAAGCGUGACGUCAAAUUUCGGGGCUCAACCCCGUCUCGCGUCGCGAACUGCGUCCCUUGGUUGCGGGAAGGGGAGGCGGAACUCGGGGUGUAGCGGUGAAAUGCAUAGAUAUCACGAAGAACUCCGAUCGCGAAGGCAGCCUUCCGGCCCGUCAACGACGCUCAUGCUCGAAGGUGCGGGUAUCAAACAGGAUUAGAUACCCUGGUAGUCCGCACAGUAAACGAUGGACACCCGCGGUUUGGCCUAUAUGGCUGAGCCGCCAAGCGAAAGCGUUAAGUGUCCCACCUGGGGAGUACGCCGGCAACGGUGAAACUCAAAUGAAUUGACGGGG